Molecule: ribosomal RNA, 253 nt
Filed under: uncultured bacterium
Lineage: Bacteria
Description: partial 16S ribosomal RNA
Rfam family: Bacterial small subunit ribosomal RNA
Source: RNAcentral
GACGUAGGGGGCGAGCGUUGUCCGGAAUUAUUGGGCGUAAAGAGCUCGUAGGCGGUCUGUCGCGUCGGCUGUGAAAACCCGGAGCUCAACUCCGGGCCUGCAGUCGAUACGGGCAAACUGGAGUGUUGCAGGGGAGACUGGAAUUCCUGGUGUAGCGGUGAAAUGCGCAGAUAUCAGGAGGAACACCGGUGGCGAAGGCGGGUCUCUGGGCAACAACUGACGCUGAGGAGCGAAAGCGUGGGGAGCGAACAGG